AUCAACGGAGGUCACCUCAGCGAGGAUCGGUGAUGGGCGUGGCUCUUCUCGUGCUCUCGCGAGAGGUCGCUGCCGGCCUCCCGGUAGCCAUAGCAGCGGGCUGACGAGAGGGGAUUCCCUCCAUACGGCCCUGUCCUCUUGGGCCCCGGCGAUUGCUCACAAGAGAAGGAAGAAUAGAAGAUACCAGUCAAAUCUUGCUGAUGAAAUUACAGGAACUUCAAGAAGAUCAUUUCUGCCGGAAUUAAAUUGAAUCUCUGUUUUGCUUAUAAAAAGUGAAGUUGCCUGUACCAAUAUUCCAGGAAGAAAACGACAAGAGGUUUUUGGUUGCCAGAGGGUUUUUUUUUUCUUUUCCUUAUUUCAUUUUGCCUGCUUAUUAGUCUACGGAGAUUACAAAAAGAACAGAAGAUUAUUUUUUCUGGUUUUUAGUGCUUUUGAAUAUGUUUCACUCUCCGAAUAAACUUUUUAGACCAGAUAUAGGACUUCAUUAUGAUCAUUCUUGGAAAAACUAUAAUUUUAUUUAGUUUGCCUCUCCCCCCCUUUUUUUUUUAGAUACAAAGAUGUUUUGUUGUCAGAGCUUAUUACUGUAACAAUAUUAUUGUUAUAGUAUUAUUUCUGGAUUUAAAAGAAAUACAGCGUUCGUGUCACUUCAUGAAAUACCAUUAAGGAAUGUGGAGGAAGUUUUAUAUUGUGCAACUUAAGUUUUGAUUUUGAAUUUUUAAGCCACAGGCACACCUAUAGAACCAGUUUUAUAUUCUAAAUCCAAAUGUGAAACAUGUCUUGGAAGAGAAAUUAUUUUUCUGUGGGACAGGGCGGCGUGCAAGGCAUGUUUACCCCACGAAAUACAACAUCUAUAGCACCAAGUAAAGGUCUCAGCAAUGAGCCAGGACAAAAUAGCUGCUUCCUGAAUAGUGCAUUACAGGUUCUCUGGCAUCUUGAUAUUUUUCGACGCAGUUUUCGACAACUUACAACACAUAAAUGCAUGGGAGAUUCCUGUAUAUUUUGUGCCCUCAAAGGUAUCUUUAACCAGUUCCAGUGCAGCAACGACAAAGUGUUACCUUCUGAUGCUCUUCGUAGUGCUCUCGCAAAGACGUUUCAGGAUGAGCAGCGUUUCCAGCUAGGCAUUAUGGAUGAUGCUGCAGAAUGCUUUGAGAACCUCUUAAUGAGGAUUCAUUUCCACAUUGCAGAUGAAUCUAAAGAAGAUAUCUGCACUGCCCCACAUUGCAUUUCACACCAGAAAUUUGCAAUGACCUUGUUUGAACAGUGUGUCUGUACCAGUUGUGGUGCUACUUCUGACCCGUUGCCCUUCAUCCAGAUGGUCCAUUAUAUCUCAACUACUUCACUCUGCAAUCAGGCCAUUUGCAUGCUGGAGAGACGAGACAAACCGACACCUGAUAUGUUUGGAGAGCUGCUACAAAAUGCCAGCACAAUGGGAGAUAUGAGAAACUGUCCGAGCAAUUGUGGAGAAAGAAUUCGGAUACGCCGAGUAUUGAUGAACUCUCCACAGAUCAUCACCAUCGGGCUGGUCUGGGACUCGGAUCACUCGGAUUUGGCAGAGGAUGUAAUUCAUACCCUGGGCACUUGCCUUAAACUGGGUGAUUUGUUCUUCAGAGUAACUGACGACAGAGCAAAACAAUGUGAAUUAUAUUUGGUUGGAAUGAUCUGCUACUAUGGAAAACAUUACUCCACCUUUUUCUUUCAAACAAAGAUUCGUAUGUGGAUGUAUUUUGAUGAUGCCCAUGUUAAAGAGAUAGGCCCUAAAUGGAAAGAUGUUGUUACUAAGUGCAUUAAAGGUCAUUACCAACCCUUGCUACUCCUUUAUGCAGACCCAAGAGGAACUCCAGUAUCAACCCAGACUCUAUCCACACAGGAUUUACCACAGUAUAGCAGAACCUAUUAUGAUAGUGAAGAUUCAGGACGUGAACCUUCUAUCUCAAGUGACACUAGAACAGAUUCUUCUACAGACAGUUAUCUGCAUAAACAUUCCCACCAUGAAUCUAUGGUCAGCCACUUUUCUUCUGAUUCUCAAGGAACUAUCAUUUAUAAUGUGGACAAUGAUGUGGUUUCGCAGAGCAGCAGGGACACAGGCCACCUGACCGAUAGUGAGUGCAGUCAGAGACAUACUUCCAAAAAGAAUUCUCUGACAGACCGUAAGAGAAAUAACAACAGGUCUAGAAAGAAAGGGGAUGAAGCACAGCCAUCUGGAUAUCAUAGUGAAGGAGAGACACUGAAGGAGAAACAGGUCCCCAGAACUGCCUCUAAAAUGUUGAGUGGUACUAGCAAACUAAGGGAAUUUAAAGAGACGGUGAGCAACAUGAUCCACAGCAGGACUUCACAGACACACCAGGGCUCCCCUCAUGGGAAGAACCAGACCGAAAUCCAGUCGCUACCCAGAACUUUGGCCAUUCAGACUCAAGACUGGGAAAUAGAGAGCAACAGCAGCGAAUCAAAGUCAAGUUCUUCCAGCAAGUACCGCCCACCUUGGAGACCCAAGCGAGAGUCGUUAAAUAUAGACAGCAUCUUCAGUAAAGAAAAGAGGAAACAAAGUGGCUACACCCAACUCAGUCCCUUUGCAGAAGAUGCAGCCAAAGAAUUCAUAGAAGAUAAGCUAAAGGAGCCAGCAGGUGAAAUAAAACCAAAAUGGUCCAACAGGUAUAAGCACUGGACUUUAGGCCGUGGCGCACAUCACAUGAUGGAUCAGCAUCCUCGUCUGAUCCAAAGGAUGGAAUCUGGGUAUGAAAGCAGCGAUCGCAAUAGCAACAGUCCAGUCAGUCUGGAUAUGCCUUUGUCAGAGAGCUCAAAUAUCUCUAGGGAUUAUCAUAUCAAACGAACUGGAGAUGUUAUUCCUGCCUGGCAUAAUAUUCCAAAAUCACAUAGCAGUAGCAUCUUCGAAGUAGAGUCUGCCUCAUCUGCAGCCUGCAGGACAAAAAAUAAAUACUCCUUUGGUAAUGGUGGGGAGCUACUUGUUUCUUCCAAAAGUGAACUAGAUGAAUUACAAGAAGAAGUAGCAAAGAGGGCCCAGGAGCAAGAUUUCCAGAGGAAGCAGGAAAAGGAAUUAGAGGCAGCCAUGGGCUUUAAUCCCCACCCAAGCAGAUUCAUGGAUUUGGAUGAACUGCAGAAUCAAGGGAGAAUUGAUGGCUUUGAGAGGUCCGUGCAAGAGGCAGAUUCAGUCUUUCAAGAGUCACUGCGUCAAGAGCAGAAAGGAGAUUGUGCUGCAGCUCUGGCUCUCUGUAACGAAGCUAUAUCUAAACUAAGACUUGCCAUGCAUGAUGCCAGCUCUAGCACUCAGAGCAGAGUUCUAAUCGAUAAGAAGCUGCAAAUCUAUGUCCGAAAAGAGCGGAGCCUCCAGGAUCGCAUGCAGCAACAGCAACCUGUACAACCGCCGUCCACCUGCCACCCACCACCGGGCGGCAACAUGACCCAAUCUACAAGUAAACAGACUGUCCCACUCCAAGUACUGCUGAAACAGAAGAGUGUGCUGGAGCCCAGCAAAGAAGCAGCACCUGGGUCCAGAUCCUACGUCCAUCCACUCGCUUCCCAUCCUGAAAAGGAAUCAUCAUAUUCCAAGCCCACAUUUCAACCCCUUCUUGAGAACAGCCUGAACUUUCAAGCGGCUUCUGUUACUUUCAGUGAUCAAGCUACUCCGUUUCCUUACAGACAACCUGGUAGUGACCAAUGCAUUCAGACUAAGAGUGAAAUUGAUGGCGAUGUGAAACUUGCUUCUUCUAGCACCUUAAAAAAUUACGAAGACCACAACAAUAAUAUUAAGGUCAAGAACCUACAUGAUGCAGCAUCUCCUCCUGCCCCCUACUGCAAAAUGAACGUAACUAUAACAAACUCUGAGUCAUUAUCUACGCUCUUCCCCUCUUCGCCACCGUCAGAAGCUCCACCUGGCAAAAAAGGCCUACCUAACCCACUUCUCAAUUCAGGAAAUACUUCAGAAUGGCCUAGUGCUGCUCCACCUGGGGACCUUCAUGGUGCAAUACUGCUUUCUCUUCCACCUCUGCCUCAUUGUGCUCCAGAAGAAUUACAGACGACCGGGCAACUUGAGGUAAACAGUCACGAGAGUUUACAUCAUCCACAAGAAGUCGUCGGUGGGGAUUCUUCGAAAUCCAAAGGUGUAAGUAGCAAAAGGGACUUUUUUUCCGUUGCAGAACAGGUUCAGUGGUUGGAAGGAAAUUUCCAAAGACAAGGUACUUGUGAGGAAAAGAGGAAGGCAGCUAUCCGUUGUGAUCAAAAUGCUCCAAAAUUACAGCAGGAAUUCCACAGCAGCCAUUUGUACCUCAAGGUGUCGGAUGUCGGAAGACAGGAGAACGGAGUGGCACCUGCCAAAACGUUGGACUCAAGUCUUUCUAAAACUCAGUUGAGUCCUGAAGAUGGUCUGAGUGCUUCCAACGUCCUUUCUGAAAAUUCCGAUUCACGUACAAAAAUCCUCUGCCACCAAGGGAAGCCGUGUUCCUUGAAUCCCAAGUUAUACCCAAGAAAACGCAGCUGUGAGGAAAAAACAAGGCACACCAGUUACAGAAAUCCUGCUGGCUCGAUUGCCUCUGUGCCCGUGGCGAGUUGCAUAGACCAUGUUAGCAAUUCUGACACAGCAAUAACUCAGCAUAAGACUGCCGGCUGGCUUUUGAUGCCUGGAAACAAAUCACCUCUGAUCAGUCAAAGAGCUUUGGGGGAAUACCCAGUGCAGAAUCAGGAAACAGCGCAGGAAGUUUCUGAGCUGGAAUCUCUGUACCAGGCCAGCAUGCAAGUACCUCUAUUGGGAAAACUGGACGGUUCCAAACCGGCGCUGAACAAAGCAGCAAACUUGCCUACAAGAAAGACGUAUAGGGGUCUGUCAAGAACAGCAGAACCUGAACACAACACCUGUGGAAAUAUUGGUUCUCCAGAUACUAAGACACAUGUGCCAUAUACUGGCCAGGAGCCAGAAGAGGAAACCUACAGUGCAGAGAACUUCCGUCGCAUUGCACGCAGUCUCAGUGGGACAGCCAUCACAAGCAAAGAAGAGAAACUUGCUUCUUCUCAGAAUUUUGAAGUGUCCAGCAGGAAGAAACUGUCAGUGGAAGCCAGAUCCUAUUCCAGCACUACUUCCCUUUCCUUCCCUCCCAAUUUGCCUCCUGUGCUCCCCUUCCGUCCUCAGCACUCUUCACCCCAACUGCAGCACUUCUCCCAUGAUGCUCCAGUGACUACUAUGGCGAACAAAAUGCAUAGACAAUCAGGAAAUCAGAAGAAUAUCCAAAAGUAUCUAACUGCACCUGACAGGAAUACAGCUUUCCACGCAGAAGACAAACCACGUGUGCCGCUGAAUUAUGACAACCCCAUUUACAAACAGGACCAGCCUUCUCAAAGGCAGACAUCUUUCAAUACAUUUUUAGACAGCGGAACGCUAAAUGCUUCCAACUACUGGCUACAGAGAAGUCACGCUGGGCAAGAGACAGCAGCAGCAGCAGCAGCAGAUCGUGACACAGCGCACGGGGACUCUCUCCCCCAGAUGAGCGAGGACUCACGAGAGCCCCUGCCCCAGUGGCCACUCCCUCAGGGAAAGGAUGAGGCUGGUACUUUGGGCUGGAAGCGGUCCCCUGGCCGGGGUUACGCCACCGUCUCACAUGGGGCUUCAAGACACAAAGGCUUUCAGGGUGGCGGUCUGAUUUCCCAGCAAGCCAAGGUCCAAGGCCCGAGGCGUGUCGACAUGCCCCCGGACGAAGACUGGCGGCAACACACCUUUGCUCCACAGCCUGCCUCAAGAAGCAUCUUCGUCCACUCCGGUAAUGCCCUGUAAAACCCUGGCCCGUGUCGCGGUUCCCUCCAUGCACAGCCAUGACUGGUGAGAGGGCACCCUUCCGCUGGGGCUGUCCCUGUCGAAAGAGGCCCUUGUCUGAACUGAAGAUACUGAAAUGCAGAAAUUCAGGAUGGAUAUUUUGUAAAUGCCAAAUGAGAAAACUUUUGAUAGAAUAUUUUAAGAAAUUAGAGUAAUAUGAAUUAUAUUACAAUAUAGUAAGCUCAGUAACAGGGAAAGAUUGAAGGCGAAUGAGGUCCAGGCAGAAGAAGAACAUCGUGGCUUCAAAAUCUAAGGGACUGGUUUGGACAAAACUCAGCAGCACUUUUUCGUGUGGCUGCUAAUAAAAACAGGAUCGCCAACAUGAUCGCCAACGUCCGAUAACAGAUAUGGAAGAAGAGGAGGAGGAGGAGGAGGAGAUGAAGAAGCUGCUGUUGCCGCUGCUGCUGCUCAGUAAAUUUCUGAAUUCUUGGCCCUUGCAUUGCAAGUUGCUCCAAGAGUUAGAUAGCAACUCCUGUCACCUUAGCCAGUAGUUGCUACCUUUUCACACUACACAUUGCCCCCCCCCGCCUUUAUGUAUUUCUAACCUUUAGAAAAUUAAGCAGUCCAUAAGGCCAUGAAGAGUUGGCGGUGGCUUACAGUCUUAGCCAGGUUGGUCUUCCAACAGAUAUGGGUGAUGCUGUUUCAGCUAUUAUCUUCGCAUAAAUGGAACAAGAAUGAAUAUUGUGGACUUAAUGCAUCCUGACAGCUACUCCACUGCAUGGGUUCAGGAAAGACAAAAUAUAGCACAAGUAGUUCUGGCCAGAACACAUUUGUUUCUGAUCCUUAAAAUACAAGGUAGCAAACUAUGACAACUUACCUCUUUAGCCUCCUGCACGUAUCCUUUCAUACUCUCAGGCCACCUAUUCUUUCUUUCCUCGGAGCAUUUUUUCUGUAAGGGCCCUUUUUAAGUUUAUGAAGAACCUGGUUCCAUCACUCAAUUACUCUGGAAUUCCAAAGUAGUAAGAUAACUUUUGUUUUUCACCUCUAGCACUUUGGAUGCUCUUUUUAAUCAACUAGCUUGCAAUUUGGGGAAAGGGGGGGAAAUUGUCCUUGCUUACCCCAAAGGAACAUAUAAAUACAGUAUAAUUGUAAGUGGUGUCAGGAAAGCCGACAACUCAGAAUGAGCUGAGAUUACUAAAGGGUGCAAGGAUGACAGAAUGUUCUAUUAAACAUCUAUGCUGAAAAUACAAAGAAUUAGUAUACUGUACCAGCUGCUCAGUGGAAAAAAGCUAACCAGCAAUAAACGCAAAGCUACUCAACUCAUACUUUUGUGUAGCCUACACCAACAAAUGAAUUAGAUUUUUCAUUAGGCAGUGUGAAGAUCGGGAUGAAGGGGCAAGAUUUAGACUGGAGAUGGAUAGAAAUAAGAUCAGGAAAUACCUCUAUUUUGAAUGAAUUGAAAUUCAAGCAAACUAUAUUUUGGGAUACUUAUUUGGGGGGGGGGAAACUGGACAACUGAUUUAAGUGCUGAGUGCCUGGAGCAGUGCUCCUAUUCCUGUCUUCAAGGGUGGGCAGGGGAUUAUCAAGGAAAUUAUAGACUAGUCCGAUUGAGGCCGAUAAUCAUCUAGAACGAAAGAUCCAAAGAGAUUGAUAAGCAUCUAGGAAAUAUAAUUACUCAAAGCCUGCAUGGAACUUGUCAGGCUAGCCUUAUCACAUUUGUUAUCUUUAUUAAUCAAUUUGGGAAAUGCUUUAAGAUUUAGUUUCAGCUUGAUAAAAUACCCUGCGAGAAGCUCAGAGUGAAGGUAGCUAAAAAAGGGUGCUGCCAGAUGCCCCUUCAGCGCCAAAGGAAGACCAGCUGGGCAGAUGAGCACCACCAUGAUGGGCCUAUGACAGGUAGGCAACCUUGGCUCUUUUAUGACUCGUGGACUUCAACUCCCAGAAUUCCUGAGCCAACAUGGCUCAGCUUGGAAACCCCUCCUUUUCCCCUCAGCGUGGCUAGCUCAGGAAAUCUGGGAGUUGAAGUCCACGAGUCAUAAAAGAGCCAAGGUUGCCUACCCCUGCCUUAGAACUAAGCACAGCACAGGAAUACCUAUUAAUUAGUGUAACGGGCCAAUCAGACCAACGAAGAGUAUUAAUGAAGCACCAAGACAUAAGAAAACAGCCAAAUGGCUAUAGAUACAAGCAUAGGAGAUUAACCUAUGCCCAAGAUUCCUCUCUGUACAGUAAAACUGCCCCAACUCCCAAAGGGAGAUAAAAAACAGAAAUUCUUAUUAAAUAAGUGUAAGAAUAAAAAAGCAAGUUCUUAUUGUAGAGUCUGAGGUUAAUCUAAUUAGUGGUAGCCAAAACAUUCUACGAACCUCAGUCCAGUAUCAAAUGAAUUGAGCUCAAUUUUAGCAACCAUAUAAACAUGCAAUUGCAACAAAGCUUCUUUGACACAUUUCCUUCCAAAUGUUCAUAGUCCAGUUUUAUUCAUUUUUUUGUCCACACGGCAUAAGCAAUUAUCUAACCUCCAGAAUGCAUUAUUCAAAAACUUUCUCAAACGCUCACUUUCAUUCACUUUAUAAAACCUGAAUCUUUUAACAAUGUACUUAAAUAUAUUGAAAUAGAACUGUAUUUUUUUAAAAAACUCUAGGCAAUACAACUAGGCAAUUAUCAGAAGUUGCAAGCUAAAAUGCAGUUUUCUACCCUCAAUCAAAGCUUGAGAAACUAAAAAUCCACUUGGGAAUAAAUCAUCUUAAGUACAUUAAGUAUAUUCACCACUACUAUAUUAAAUUUAAAAAAAAAAA
RNA transcript from Crotalus tigris (Tiger rattlesnake), 8541 nucleotides. It is a transcript of the gene named ubiquitin specific peptidase 54, with no coding region annotated. The record is from RefSeq and is a predicted model, not a curated record. Lineage: Eukaryota; Metazoa; Chordata; Lepidosauria; Squamata; Viperidae. The transcript has 24 exons.